UGUCGGCGACCGGCGCACGGGUGCGUAACGCGUAUGCAACCUACCCAUUACAGGGGGAUAACACUGAGAAAUCGGUACUAAUACCCCAUAACAUCCAGGGAGGCAUCUUCUUGGGUUGAAAACUCCGGUGGUAAUGGAUGGGCAUGCGUUGUAUUAGUUAGUUGGUGGGGUAACGGCUCACCAAGACAACGAUACAUAGGGGGACUGAGAGGUUAACCCCCCACAUUGGUACUGAGACACGGACCAAACCCCUACGGAAGGCAGCAG
RNAcentral lists this ribosomal RNA (267 nucleotides) under uncultured bacterium. RNAcentral describes it as "partial 16S ribosomal RNA". It matches the Rfam family "Bacterial small subunit ribosomal RNA", at positions 86 to 354 of the family's 1533-position model. The record is from RNAcentral.